Molecule: transfer RNA, 98 nt
Filed under: Deltaproteobacteria bacterium
Lineage: Bacteria; Pseudomonadati; Myxococcota; Myxococcia
Description: tRNA-Sec
Rfam family: Selenocysteine transfer RNA
Source: RNAcentral
GGAAGUGGAUAGCUCGCUGGUGGGGCUCCCGGACUUCAAAUCCGGUGUGGGGCACUAAAACUGUCCCGGGUGGGUUCGAUUCCCAUGCACUUCCGCCA